AAAAUGAUGAUAAAGGCCUAACAUACAGUGCCCAAACCAAAGGGCACACGUCUCCAGACCGAAAUGGUCACCAGCCACCUGGCCUGGGGUCGAGAAACCCAGCCGGAGACAGGACGCCACGGAUCUGGGGACCUGACCACGCCGAGAGAGAGACAGGUGCCAAAAAAGGUCAGGAAGGGGCUCGGCGGUCACCACGACACCAGGAGCAGCCAGCACCUUCAUCGUGGGAAAAGGAUUUUCAAACGAGAAUUAACCACCGGAACGGGCUCCCACGGUGACGGAGGCUGAGGCCCACGUCCGUCUGCAGUCGGCCAGCUGGAGCCCCCGGAGCCGGCGGCGCAGUUCCAGCCUGAGUCCGAGUCCGAGUCUGGAGGCAGGAGACCCACGUCCCAGCUGGAAGACCGCCCGCCAGAGGGCAGACCCCCUUCCUCCGCCUUUCUGUUCUGUUGAGGCCCCGCGACCCGGCCUCCUCCUUCCAGACUUGACAUCUGAGGCUGGGUCACGAGAAGCCUUGCCCAGUGACUGUGCACUGGGGGAGCUGGCUGCC
RNAcentral lists this long non-coding RNA (547 nucleotides) under Equus asinus (donkey). RNAcentral's name for it is "lncRNA (ENSEASG00005026759.1)". Lineage: Eukaryota; Metazoa; Chordata; Mammalia; Perissodactyla; Equidae. The record is from RNAcentral.